UGCCAGUUAUAUCUCUGGAAUUCUACUCUCACAACGUAAUUGAAUGGUAUUUCAUCAUCCAUGAUGUUCCAUCACUGAUUCCUGUUGUACUUUCAUACUUAGAUGGGUGCAUUGCUCUUUGGCUGUUGAAGCUACCUUCUCCCUUCCACCACUCUAUAAUAUAGAGCAGCUAUUAUUUUACGUGGGCUUCUCUACACUUCAUGUUGGGGGCACUUCUUUACAAUUCAUGUUGGAAGGGUAUUUUUUUUUAACUUUGCCUUUGCUUUGUUUUAUGUAUUUACUUCAUGGUCAUAACUCUUGUUCUCUUUUCCGUCUUC
Molecule: long non-coding RNA, 317 nt
Filed under: Elaeis guineensis (African oil palm)
Lineage: Eukaryota; Viridiplantae; Streptophyta; Magnoliopsida; Arecales; Arecaceae
Description: long non-coding RNA (EGUI_LNC058262)
Source: RNAcentral